GUUUGCACUUGUCGGGGAAGGGUGAGAACCUUCGAUUAAGGUUCGACUCGAGCGAAAGCGAGAGAACGUUGCCAACGGCAACGGCCCGUAGGGUGAGGAGCGAAGCGACGAAUAAUCCUUCCCCCACCGCCA
RNAcentral lists this small RNA (132 nucleotides) under Salmonella enterica subsp. enterica serovar Infantis. RNAcentral's name for it is "RtT RNA". It matches the Rfam family "RtT RNA". From Rfam's summary of the family: This family represents a bacterial cis-regulatory element known as RtT RNA. Lineage: Bacteria; Pseudomonadati; Pseudomonadota; Gammaproteobacteria; Enterobacterales; Enterobacteriaceae. The record is from RNAcentral. RNAcentral also lists the same sequence under 21 other names.